GGUAAUCGGUAAGUAUUUUAGGUUUUGUACAAAUGUCAAAAUAGUGUUUCCAACACAAUUUAGGUUUUGUGGAAAAGGACUGCAUCAAGGUAAAAUAAAGACUGCAAAAUGAUUGGCAGGAGCAUGUGACUGGAAUCUUAUGAGCCUGGGAGUGUUGGAAUGUUUAGGAUUCAGUUGAGAGAAACUGUAUCUCUGGAUCUGAAGAGGAAAGGAGAAAGAAGUGUGGCCAAAUCUGUCAGAAGAUCAAUUCCCAAGACACUAGCCUAUGAAGAUCCUUUGGCUGUGGUAAGGAUUUAUUCUUCAAUCGUCUGCUGGUCAGGGAUUGAGGAGCUAUCUUCAACUUGGAGGAGUUAUCAUUUGUGUACAUUUCACCUUGGAUUCCUGUUUUGGCUCCCAGAGACUCUAUUGUUCCAUAUAACCAGUCAUCAUGAGGAUCUUCUACCUGGCUUUUCUGCUGUUCUUCAUGAUCUACUACUACACCAACACAGGUUAUGGCAAUCUACAAUACUCUAGAAAAUGUGGGAUGACAUGGGGUUUAUGUGCAUAUAUAGCCUGUGUACCUCCAAAAGUUAUCAUAGGAAGAUGUGCUACCAUGUUAAAAAUUUGUUGUGACAGUCCACUGUUUAGAGUAAAAAAUGUCACACAGAAGCCUUUUUUUAACCCAUUCCAAUUUUGGGGUGGGAAGAAGAAGAAGAAGGUGACAAAAAAAAGAGGUUGAAAUGCAUGGAAUUUUUUUUAAUAAAGGAAACGCCAUUUUGAUAAUAUUGUUUUCU
This 773-nucleotide long non-coding RNA is filed under the name Monodelphis domestica (gray short-tailed opossum). Its description in RNAcentral is "lncRNA (ENSMODG00000046340.1)". The record is from RNAcentral. Lineage: Eukaryota; Metazoa; Chordata; Mammalia; Didelphimorphia; Didelphidae.